UUCCUAACCCCUUUUUCUCUCUAUUCUUUUUUGUUGAAGUCAGGGAAACAUUCAUAGAAAUUAAAAUUCUACAGGUUUUGUAAGAAAGUGGAGAUGUAUUGAAGAGCCUCCCAACCUUCAAAAUCUGACAACAAUCCGGUUUUGCUUUACCUUCAAGAUAAGAGAGUGAAUUGGCACUCUACUCCAUUUGAGGCAAGGUUGGAGAGAGCUUUGAAAAGUGGUUCUGCUGAGGCUUAAACUACUCAUACUCCUGGUGUAUGUUAGACAACCUUAUAAGUGGUUCUGUUGGAUUGUUGUUUUAUGUUCUCAGCAUCUAUAUUUUUUUAUUCUUUUGUAAAAUUCAAUUUGGUUGUUUGUGACAUCUGCUUGCCUGUUGUAAUUUCAUGAUUUAAUAUAAUUGAAUUUAUUCUUUUUAAUUGUAUCCAUAAUUCUUUCUGCAAUGCUGAUUUAUGAUUUUAUGAAGAUCAGUUUGGUUUUU
Quercus robur (English oak) is the source of this 478-nucleotide long non-coding RNA. RefSeq lists it as uncharacterized. Lineage: Eukaryota; Viridiplantae; Streptophyta; Magnoliopsida; Fagales; Fagaceae. The record is from RefSeq and is a predicted model, not a curated record. The transcript is spliced from 2 exons.